RNAcentral lists this long non-coding RNA (835 nucleotides) under Equus caballus (horse). RNAcentral describes it as "lncRNA (ENSECAG00000040896.2)". The record is from RNAcentral. Lineage: Eukaryota; Metazoa; Chordata; Mammalia; Perissodactyla; Equidae.
GGGAGAUAAUUUUAUCUUUUUAUAAAUUGGUCGUUUUUCGCUCGAGCCAAUCUCUUGGGGAUGCAUCCACCUGGGGCCACUUCCAGUUAUCUCCUUGAAGUUUUUCAGACUUCUACAUGUGGCAUGAGUUAGCCACAGGGCCGAUUUGUGGUAAUUAAUUAUUAGGUCAAGACUUACUUGAGAAAGGCGUGGUCAAGACAAAUUCCUUUGCCACUCCAUCUGCAUGGCAAAGUUUGUCUCUGAUUUAGUUUUAUUUUGGAAGUAGAGCCAUUUGGAGUCGUGGCUUUAUGCGGAGACCCCGCAUUAAGUUUCCCACAUUUGGCAAGCCCUGAGUUUUAUUUACUGACCCCAUGCCAGCUUCAAAGCAGAAUCACAGAGUUGUUAGGAUUUAGCAGAAUCCGCCAAGGUGGAGUCAAUUUUGUCAUUCUGUUACCUCCAAGGCUUCCUGAUUUGGCUCUGAUUGAGGGGACGUGGCUUGAAUACCGGCUCCAACAUCUUCUCGCUGUGUGACUGAACGGGGCAAGUUAUUUAAACUCUCUGCACCCCAUAAAGUAGAACCAAACGUCCCACCGAGAAGACUUCCGGCACAUCGCAUCGCGUGCUUCCAUUUUCUCACCUGAUAAAGGCCCUUCCAACAAGAUUCAAGAGCAGUUUUCUCCAGUAUCUCUUCCAGUCGAUGAAAUCUCCUGGUGGAAGCUUAUGAAGAGGUUGUUUAGGAAGACAUUGUGGGAAGGUGGUCUUCACUUUUGAUGACAGAGGUGGCUAUAGAGGAACCAUUAGGUCCGGCUAAGAGCCUAGAACUGGUGGAGCAGAAGCAUCCAGUUUUGCACAGGCA